This is a long non-coding RNA of Lathyrus oleraceus (garden pea), 315 nucleotides long. RefSeq lists it as uncharacterized. The record is from RefSeq and is a predicted model, not a curated record. Lineage: Eukaryota; Viridiplantae; Streptophyta; Magnoliopsida; Fabales; Fabaceae. The transcript is spliced from 3 exons.
GGUACACUGAUUUUGGUAGCGGUAUAUCUCAUAGACCGAUCGAAGAUUUGGCAUACUCAGUUGCAAGAUUCAUACAAAAUCGCGGCUCCUUUGUUAACUACUACAUGUAUCAUGGAGGGACUAAUUUUGGUCGAACAUCGAGUGGUCUUUUCAUUGCAACAAGCUAUGAUUAUGAUGCUCCUAUUGACGAAUAUGGACUUGUGAAUGAACCAAAAUGGGGACAUUUGAGAGACUUGCAUAAGGCAAUAAAACAGUGUGAGCCAGCUUUGAUUGCUGUGGAUCCUACGGUCACAUAUUUCGGGAAAAACCUCGAGG